GCAGCCGUGCCAGAGAGGUUAUUGGGUAAGACUAGAAACCUUAUGUCUUCGGACGCGUAGGUUCGAAUCCUACCGGCUGCG
Molecule: transfer RNA, 81 nt
Filed under: Dunaliella salina
Lineage: Eukaryota; Viridiplantae; Chlorophyta; Chlorophyceae; Chlamydomonadales; Dunaliellaceae
Description: tRNA-Ser
Rfam family: tRNA
About the family: Transfer RNA (tRNA) molecules are approximately 80 nucleotides in length.
Source: RNAcentral